This is a non-coding RNA of Acanthosepion pharaonis, 99 nucleotides long. The record is from the annotation of a GenBank genome assembly. NCBI's taxonomy places the organism in Eukaryota, Metazoa, Mollusca, Cephalopoda, Sepiida, Sepiidae.
AUUAAAACACUGAUUCUUGUAUGAUCACUAAAGUUAAGCAAUGUUGGGCCUGGUCAGUACUAAGAUGGGUGAUGACUUUGAAAUACCAGGUGCUGUAAG